Molecule: ribosomal RNA, 396 nt
Filed under: uncultured bacterium
Lineage: Bacteria
Description: partial 16S ribosomal RNA
Rfam family: Bacterial small subunit ribosomal RNA
Source: RNAcentral
AUACGUAGGUGGCAAGCGUUGUCCGGAAUUAUUGGGCGUAAAGCGCAUGUAGGCGGUUUGGUAAGUCGGUCGUGAAAAUGCGGUGCUUAACGCCGUAUGGCGAUUGAAACUGCUGAACUUGAGUGCAGGAGAGGAAAGGGGAACUCCCAGUGUAGCGGUGAAAUGCGUAGAUAUUGGGAAGAACACCGGUGGCGAAGGCGCCUUUCUGGACUGUGUCUGACGCUCAGAUGCGAAAGCCAGGGUAGCGAACGGGAUUAGAUACCCCGGUAGUCCUGGCCGUAAACGAUGGGUACUAGGUGUGGGAGGUAUCGACUCCUUCCGUGCCGGAGUUAACGCAAUAAGUCCCCCGCCUGGGGAGUACGUACGCAAGUAUGAAACUCAAAUGAAUUGGCGGGG